RNAcentral lists this ribosomal RNA (465 nucleotides) under Vreelandella stevensii. RNAcentral's name for it is "partial 16S ribosomal RNA". It matches the Rfam family "Bacterial small subunit ribosomal RNA", at positions 338 to 795 of the family's 1533-position model. The record is from RNAcentral. Lineage: Bacteria; Pseudomonadati; Pseudomonadota; Gammaproteobacteria; Oceanospirillales; Halomonadaceae.
CCUACGGGCGGCUGCAGUGGGGAAUAUUGGACAAUGGGCGAAAGCCUGAUCCAGCCAUGCCGCGUGUGUGAAGAAGGCCUUCGGGUUGUAAAGCACUUUCAGUGGGGAAGAAAGCCUUGGGGCUAAUACCCUCGAGGAAGGACAUCACCCACAGAAGAAGCACCGGCUAACUCCGUGCCAGCAGCCGCGGUAAUACGGACGGUGCGAGCGUUAAUCGGAAUUACUGGGCGUAAAGCGCGCGUAGGCGGUCUGAUAAGCCGGUUGUGAAAGCCCCGGGCUCAACCUGGGAACGGCAUCCGGACCUGUCAGGCUAGAGUGCAGGAGAGGAAGGUAGAAUUCCCGGUGUAGCGGUGAAAUGCGUAGAGAUCGGGAGGAAUACCAGUGGCGAAGGCGGCCUUCUGGACUGACACUGACGCUGAGGUGCGAAAGCGUGGGUAGCAAACAGGAUUAGAUACCCUAGUAGUC